AAUAAACGAAUUUCUGUGUUUUUUUAGAAUUUUUGACUCUUCGUCUUAUUUGAAAUUUUUUUAUGAUUAAUUUUUUUAUUGUUACUACGUGAUAAAACAUGAAUAGUACUUUACGUGUGACUAAUAUUUUUUAAUUUUUUAAUAAAAUUUUUAAAUAAGACAAAUGGUCAAACGCGCGACCUACGAAACCUAGAAAUCCUCUUUUU
RNAcentral lists this microRNA precursor (206 nucleotides) under Oryza brachyantha (malo sina). Its description in RNAcentral is "MIR812 microRNA precursor family". It matches the Rfam family "MIR812 microRNA precursor family". The record is from Rfam by way of RNAcentral. Lineage: Eukaryota; Viridiplantae; Streptophyta; Magnoliopsida; Poales; Poaceae.